GUGAAUCAUCAAAUUUUUGAACGCAAAUUGCACUUUCUGCUGUGCGUGAAAGUGUUCCAGUUUCAGGGUCAGAUAAAUAAACAUCGGUGUUGCUUCUGCUUUUCGUGGUUAGGCGUCGGAAUUGAGUUGUCUUACCUUCGGUUAAGCGACUUAAAAUUUUGCUUGAGUUUCGAACGUAGUUAAAUAUCUUACGUAUGUUUCAGGUAUAGGAUACUUUA
This 218-nucleotide unclassified non-coding RNA is filed under the name Glomeromycetes sp. RNAcentral describes it as "partial internal transcribed spacer 2". Lineage: Eukaryota; Fungi; Glomeromycota; Glomeromycetes. The record is from RNAcentral.